Molecule: long non-coding RNA, 1074 nt
Organism: Sorghum bicolor (sorghum)
Lineage: Eukaryota; Viridiplantae; Streptophyta; Magnoliopsida; Poales; Poaceae
Exons: 2
Source: RefSeq, a predicted model, not a curated record
UAAAGCUGAAACUUCUAUAUGUAAGGCUCUCAAUUUAUUAUGUAAAAGUAGUGCACAAUAAAUCAUAGGUCUGGUACUCUGUAUGAUUUCUAUUUCUACAUAGCUAAUUACUAAUGUCAGAUUAAGUAUGGUCUGUUCAAGGUUUAUUGAUGCCUUGGACAUACUCUUUUUGUUACUACAUGGCUAGAUUGAAGUUUGAGAGCACAAAAGUACCUCCAGGAUUCAUUUUUCUAUAAUAUCCAUAUAGCAUUUGUUUUGCCAUCCUAGGAGUGCCUGGAAAUUUUAGUAGUUUCUAUUUUUCUAUUCUAUUGAUGAUUUGAUUUUUAUGUUAUGCCCAGGUGUACAGUAAUUUUCUUACAACAUAUGCCUUUCUAAGGCUACCAAAUAAUAAAGCAAUUGAGCAUUCACAGCUUUCUGAUUGCAGAGAUGGACCACUAAGGUGCAAAAAAUACCUGCACUGGAAGUGUUUUGUGUAGCAGAAUUCUUGUUCAUAGCCUGUAAGCAUGCUAUGGCAGCAUGUAGAAUGCAGCCUAUGUGUUGGUUCUUGGUUAUCACCCUGAAUGUAGCAUCUGUGUUGGUUGCUUCCUUUUAUUUUGUGAACCCUAGAAUGUAACUUGAGGCUGGAACUCAAUCUAUUUACAGUUUUAGCACUGCACAAUUAUAUGUAUAUAUCUGUGAAGACUAAUGGUGAUUGUCUGAUAUAUUUAUGAAGACUAAUGAUAAUUGUCUUAUGUGAUGACCAUAUAAUUUGAACUGUUAAACUACCUUUUCUUAUAUAUGUCAAUUGACAGGGAAGCCAGCAGCCAGACCAGUUUCUAAACACUCCAAAGCGUUUGGUGAGGCUAUCUCUUAAUUGCGGCAAUAUGAUCAAGGUGCUCAUGGUGGCUAUUUUUGUUAGUGAUAAAAGAUUUAGUUGUCCGAGCAAAUCAUACGAGUUAUGUGUUGUACAAGCAAAUGUCUUAGUUUUGUAGGUACUUGAGUGUAGCAUGGUUAUUGUCUUAGUAUUUCGUGUGAAAUAUUGUACAAGUACAAAUGUUGAUAGUUUUAAUGAAAAUGAUGAGCAAUAUUUGUCAA